This 960-nucleotide ribosomal RNA is filed under the name Halomonas nitroreducens. RNAcentral's name for it is "bacterial SSU rRNA". It matches the Rfam family "Bacterial small subunit ribosomal RNA", at positions 57 to 1007 of the family's 1533-position model. Lineage: Bacteria; Pseudomonadati; Pseudomonadota; Gammaproteobacteria; Oceanospirillales; Halomonadaceae. The record is from RNAcentral.
GCAAGUCGAGCGGAAACGAUGGAAGCUUGCUUCCAGGCGUCGAGCGGCGGACGGGUGAGUAAUGCAUAGGAAUCUGCCCGGUAGUGGGGGAUAACCUGGGGAAACCCAGGCUAAUACCGCAUACGCCCUACGGGGGAAAGCAGGGGAUCUUCGGACCUUGCGCUAUCGGAUGAGCCUAUGUCGGAUUAGCUAGUUGGUGGGGUAAAGGCCUACCAAGGCGACGAUCCGUAGCUGGUCUGAGAGGAUGAUCAGCCACAUCGGGACUGAGACACGGCCCGAACUCCUACGGGAGGCAGCAGUGGGGAAUAUUGGACAAUGGGCGCAAGCCUGAUCCAGCCAUGCCGCGUGUGUGAAGAAGGCCCUCGGGUUGUAAAGCACUUUCAGUGAGGAAGAAGGCCUUCGGGUUAAUACCCUGGAGGAAGGACAUCACUCACAGAAGAAGCACCGGCUAACUCCGUGCCAGCAGCCGCGGUAAUACGGAGGGUGCGAGCGUUAAUCGGAAUUACUGGGCGUAAAGCGCGCGUAGGUGGCUUGAUAAGCCGGUUGUGAAAGCCCCGGGCUCAACCUGGGAACGGCAUCCGGAACUGUCAGGCUAGAGUGCAGGAGAGGAAGGUAGAAUUCCCGGUGUAGCGGUGAAAUGCGUAGAGAUCGGGAGGAAUACCAGUGGCGAAGGCGGCCUUCUGGACUGACACUGACACUGAGGUGCGAAAGCGUGGGUAGCAAACAGGAUUAGAUACCCUGGUAGUCCACGCCGUAAACGAUGUCGACUAGCCGUUGGGCUCCUUGAGAGCUUUGUGGCGCAGUUAACGCGAUAAGUCGACCGCCUGGGGGAGUACGGCCGCAAGGUUAAAACUCAAAUGAAUUGACGGGGGCCCGCACAGCGGUGGAGCAUGUGGUUUAAUUCGAUGCAACGCGAAGAACCUUACCUACCCUUGACAUCGAGAGAACUUUGGCAGAGAU